CUGCUCAGAUUGAACGCUGGCGUCAGGCAUAACACAUGCAAGUCGAACGGUAACAGGAAGCAGCUUGCUGCUUCGCUGACGAGUGGCGGACGGGUGAGUAAUGUCUGGGGAUCUGCCUGAUGGAGGGGGAUAACUACUGGAAACGGUAGCUAAUUCCGCAUAACGUCGCAAGCCCAAAGAGGGGGACCUUCGGGCCUCUUGCCAUCAGAUGAACCCAGAUGGGAUUAGUUAGUAGGUGGGGUAACGGCUCACCUAGGCGACGAUCCCUAGCUGGUCUGAGAGGAUGUCCAGCCCCACUGGAACUGAGACACGGUCCAGAUUCCUACGGGAGGCAGCAGUGGGGAAUAUUGCACAAUGGGCGCAAUCCUGAUGCAGCCAUGCCGCGUGUAUGAAGAAGGCCUUCGGGUUGUAAAGUACUUUCAGCGGGGAGGAAGGCGAUACGGUUAAUAACCGUGUCGAUUGACGUUACCCGCAGAAGAAGCACCGGUUAACUCCGUGCCAGCAGCCGCGGUAAUACGGAGGGUGCAAGCGUUAAUCGGAAUUACUGGGCGUAAAGCGCACGCAGGCGGUUUGUCAAGUCGGAUGUGAAAUCCCCGGGCUCAACCUGGGAACUGCAUCCGAAACUGGCAGGCUUGAGUCUUGUAGAGGGGGGUAGAAUUCCAGGUGUAGCGGUGAAAUGCGUAGAGAUCUGGAGGAAUACCGGUGGCGAAGGCGGCCCCCUGGACAAAGACUGACGCUCAGGUGCGAAAGCGUGGGGAGCAACCAGGAUUAGAUACCCUGGUAGUCCACGCCGUAAACGAUGUCGACUUGGAGGUUGUGCCCUUGAGGCGUGGCUUCCGGAGCUAACGC
Molecule: ribosomal RNA, 849 nt
Filed under: Atlantibacter hermannii
Lineage: Bacteria; Pseudomonadati; Pseudomonadota; Gammaproteobacteria; Enterobacterales; Enterobacteriaceae
Description: bacterial SSU rRNA
Rfam family: Bacterial small subunit ribosomal RNA
Source: RNAcentral